RNAcentral lists this ribosomal RNA (306 nucleotides) under uncultured bacterium. RNAcentral describes it as "bacterial SSU rRNA". It matches the Rfam family "Bacterial small subunit ribosomal RNA", at positions 30 to 335 of the family's 1533-position model. The record is from RNAcentral.
AUUGAACGCUGGCGGCGUGCUUAACACAUGCAAGUCGAGCGGUAACAGGCGUAGCAAUACGUGCUGACGAGCGGCGAACGGGUGCGUAAUACAUCGGAAUCUGCCUCGUAGUGGGGAAUAACCCGGCGAAAGCCGGGCUAAUGCCGCAUACGAUCCACGGAUGAAAGCGGGGGACCGUAAGGCCUCGCGCUAUGAGAUGAGCCGAUGUCGGAUUAGCAGUUGGUGAGGUAACGGCUCACCAAGGCGACGAUCCGUAGCUGGUCUGAGAGGACGGCCAGCCACACUGGGACUGAGACACGGCCCAGA